This 278-nucleotide long non-coding RNA is filed under the name Salvia miltiorrhiza (redroot sage). RNAcentral's name for it is "long non-coding RNA (SMIL_LNC011366)". Lineage: Eukaryota; Viridiplantae; Streptophyta; Magnoliopsida; Lamiales; Lamiaceae. The record is from RNAcentral.
AAUAUAUUAUGUUCACGUUUUAAAGUUCUUUAUCUCCCUUAAAUAUAUUUCCUACUAUUUUAUAUAAAUAUGAUACAAAAAAAAUCAAAGUAAUUUGUCCUAAAAUGUAAAUUUAAAAAAAAAGAAAAGAAAAUAAAAAAUAAAUUAUACUUUUUGCUAUGUGAUGGUAGCAUCCGACCUAGCAAUUACGCGUAGCGCUAAAUUAACAAAUUUGUAAAUAACCCUGAAAUCUUAAAAUCCGACCAAAUUAAAUAGAUUGUUCAAGUUCUUGGCUCCAC